RNAcentral lists this ribosomal RNA (198 nucleotides) under uncultured bacterium. RNAcentral's name for it is "partial 16S ribosomal RNA". It matches the Rfam family "Bacterial small subunit ribosomal RNA", at positions 328 to 539 of the family's 1533-position model. The record is from RNAcentral.
ACGCUCGACACCUACGGGGGGCAGCGGUGGGGAAUAUUGCACAAUGGGGGAAACCCUGAUGCAGCGACGCCGCGUGAGCGAAGAAGUAUUUCGGUAUGUAAAGCUCUAUCAGCAGGGAAGAAACUGACGGUACCUGACUAAGAAGCACCGGCUAAAUACGUGCCAACAGCCGCGGUAAUCUGAGCGGGCUGGCAAGGC